CCUACUGGGCGCUGCAGUAGGGAAUUUUGCGCAAUGGGCGAAAGCCUGACGCAGCAACUCCGCGUGAUCGAGACGCCCUUCGGGGUGUAAAGAUCUGUCAGUGGGGACGAAACUUGACGGUACCCACAGAGGAAGCACCGGCUAACUCCGUACCAGCAGCCGCGGUAAUACGGGGGGUGCAAGCGUUGUCCGGCAUCAUUGGGCGGCAAGAGUUAGUAGGCGGCACGUAAAGUCUGGUGUUAAAGGCAGAGGCUCAAUUUAGGUACGGAACUGGAUUCUUGCGAGGUAGAAUGCUGGAGAGGUAAAGGGAAUUCCUGGUGUAGCGGUGAAAUGCUGAGAUAUCAGGAGGAACAUCGGUGGCGUAAGCGCUUUACUGGGCCGUAAUUGACGCUGAGGAACGAAAGCCAGGGUAGCAAAUGGGAUUAGAUACCCGGGUAGUC
This 440-nucleotide ribosomal RNA is filed under the name uncultured bacterium. Its description in RNAcentral is "partial 16S ribosomal RNA". It matches the Rfam family "Bacterial small subunit ribosomal RNA", at positions 338 to 795 of the family's 1533-position model. The record is from RNAcentral.